CCGGGCGGCGGGCGGCGGGCGGGGGCGGAGCGCGGGGGGCGCGCAGGCCUCACCCCAACCUAGAGGCAGAGCGUCACCAGCUAUCUCCGGCAGGUCCGAGUCACCAAAACAUCCGCAGACCUUUUCCCUUGGGGCGACUCGUGGGGUCGGGGGCGGGGGCUGUUACGGGCAGUCGCCACCCUGCCUUGAGGGCCUCGGUGAAUCAGGUGCUAAUCACCGCGGCUCCCCUGACUGGUUUUUCUGAAUACCGCGGAUUUAGGCCCCGGUCGGGGGAUUCCUGUGGCUCUCCCCCACCCACGAGGACCGAGAAGGCACACGCGAUGAGGAAAGUUGUGUUUCAGCUCCAAGCCCAGAAAAGCCACAAAACCAGACCAGCUAUGCCAAUGUUGACAUCUGGAUGAGCUGCCUUGAUUGAUGACACACUGCCCUGGCACCUACCAACCAGUAGAGACCACAUCUCUAAAAGGACACACCUGGAAACCUGAUGAAUAUUCUAUUGAGAUCUUCCCUUGGGGCCUCCCCCUUGAACUCCCCACCAUUAAAAGCUUUUAGGAUGGAGGACCCAACGUGCUCUCCCUCUCUGGAGUGUGCCUGCACAUUUCCCAGCUCUCUUUUCUUUCCCCCAUGUGCAUCACUUUUACCUUUCUUUCUCCUAAGCUCCAGGCCCCCCCUUCUUUUGCCUCUGUAACUUGUUUCCUGAACCUGUUUCUUCUAGAGCUCACUUCUUCCACCUCUGUGACUUUCUAAACAAACUUUUACUUAUAGUUUGAGUCUUGGCUCUGAAUUCUUUUCUAGCCACAACUCAAGUUCUGAGGUUGCUGAAGUGCAGUCUGGGCUGACUCCACCCAUCAAGAUCUUGUGCUGUUUUUGCCACCAACACAAAGGCUGGCGGUAGAGGUAUGGUUCAGAUAGUAAUGUGAGUGGGGCCUUAGCAAGACCCUGAGAAAUUGACGGGAGGUUAAGGCCUUGAGUGCAUCAUCUCUCUGAGAAUCAUUUAUUAGGAAAAUUAACCUGUCAUUAGCACUGAAGAUGGAUGAGUUCGGGAACAGUGAGAUCUACUAGGAAGGUAUUUCCAUAGUCUAGAGAUGACGUACUUACAUCUAAAGAAGUCAGAUGGACAGAGGGGAUAGGGUAACAUGGAGCAGGGGGAGCAUUAGUCAAUGACUAAAUUGUAUCACAAAUAUUGCACACCUACUAUACACCAGAUACCAGCCUGGGCCUUCAAGAUACAGAAAUGAAAAGGCAUGGUUUUUAUUCACAAGGAAAUUGUAGUUCCAUAGGGAACAUGGGCAAGGGAUUAGUUAGAUGCCAUACUGUAAGCUAAGUGUUGGGGACAGGAGAAGGAAGUGGCUAAGGGAACUCAGAGAGAAGGCACUAUAUUAGUGUCUUAACAGGUAGCUGAAUCCAACAAGAUAGUUCAGGUAACUGCAAUGAGGAAUUAUCUCAUGCAAGGUGUGCCAGAAUUGAGAAAACACAAAGUAGCUGCUGAGGCAGCAGGAGAUGACUAUGGUGAGAAACUGUUGCCACCCCUAAGCCUCAAAUGGCUAGAGGAAGAAUAGGUUGAUUGGACCCCAGUAGAAGCUGAAGCCAUGGCAGUGGGCCACCUGACUGGAACUGUAGUUGGGGAGUAUUGUGGGCUGAAUUGUGUCCCCUGAAAUUCAUAUGUUGCAGUCCUAAUCCCCAGUACCUCUGAAUAUGACUGUGUUUGGACUUUGGGACUUUUAAAAAUAUAAUUAAGGUAAAAGGAGCUCAUUGGGGUGGGCCCAAACACAACUGGACUGGUGUCCUUGGGAGGAGAUUAGGACACAGAUACACACACAGAGGGAAGACCUUGUGAGGACAUGGGGGAACACCCAUCUAUAAUCCAAGGAAAGAGUCCUCAGAAGAACCAACCUUGCUAACACCCCAGUCUUGGAUUUUCAGCCUCCAGAGCUAUGAGAUGAUAGUUUUUGUUGCUUAAAGAAAUAAUAGAUGUUGUUGGCCCAGUGUAUGGUGCUUUGUUACAGCAGCAGCCCGGGCAAACUAACACAGAGAAAGAAAUCACCAUGGCCAGAAGCUUGAUUUGAUCAGGGAGGCCAUGGAAAGAGAUACUCUGGCCUUUCUCUCCAACUGCUCUCUCAUCUCACUUAAAAGCUAAACACAUCUGGAAGUCGGCCAAGGAGCCCAACUCAUUUGUUGUGUAUGUUUAGUCUUCCAGGGCACUUGUGGGACAAAGGGGGUAGGAAUAGAGCAAGCUGGGAGAGGGAGUAAAUAGAAAAUAAUCCUCAAAGACAUCUCAUCUAGUUUUGAGAAGUCAAGGUGGGUACAUGGAGGAGUGACUCUUGAACUGAGUCUGGAAUAACAAGUUAGUUAAUAGGUUGAUACUAUUCUCCCCUUUUUACAAAUAAGAA
Long non-coding RNA from Phyllostomus discolor (pale spear-nosed bat), 2390 nucleotides. RefSeq lists it as uncharacterized. Lineage: Eukaryota; Metazoa; Chordata; Mammalia; Chiroptera; Phyllostomidae. The transcript has 2 exons. The record is from RefSeq and is a predicted model, not a curated record.